UACGGGGGGGGCAAGCGUUGUUCGGAAUUACUGGGCGUAAAGGGUUCGUAGGUGGCCGAUUAAGUCAGACGUGAAAUCCCUCAGCUCAACUGGGGAACUGCGUCUGAUACUGGUUGGCUUGAGUGCAGGAGAGGAACGCGGAAUUCCAGGUGUAGCGGUGAAAUGCAUAGAUAUCUGGAGGAACACCGGUGGCGAAGGCGGCGUCCUGGACCAACACUGACACUGAGGAGCGAAAGCCAGGGGAGCAAACGGG
This 253-nucleotide ribosomal RNA is filed under the name uncultured bacterium. RNAcentral's name for it is "partial 16S ribosomal RNA". It matches the Rfam family "Bacterial small subunit ribosomal RNA", at positions 524 to 776 of the family's 1533-position model. The record is from RNAcentral.